This 594-nucleotide ribosomal RNA is filed under the name uncultured bacterium. RNAcentral describes it as "bacterial SSU rRNA". It matches the Rfam family "Bacterial small subunit ribosomal RNA", at positions 338 to 948 of the family's 1533-position model. The record is from RNAcentral.
CCUACGGGAGGCAGCAGUGGGGAAUUUUCCGCAAUGGGCGAAAGCCUGACGGAGCAAUACCGCGUGAGGGAAGAAAGCCUACUGGGUUGUAAACCUCUUUUUUCAGGGAGGAAAAAAUGACGUGUACCUGAAGAAUAAGCAUCGGCUAACUCCGUGCCAGCAGCCGCGGUAAGACGGAGGAUGCAAGUGUUAUCCGGAAUUACUGGGCGUAAAGCGUCUGUAGGUGGUUUAAUAAGUCAACUGUUAAAUCUUGAGGCUUAACUUCAAAACAGCAGUCGAAACUAUUAGACUAGAGUAUAGUAGGGGUAAAGGGAAUUUCCAGUGGAGCGGUGAAAUGCGUAGAUAUUGGAAAGAACACCGAUGGCGAAAGCACUUUACUGGGCUAUUACUAACACUCAGAGACGAAAGCUAGGGUAGCAAAUGGGAUUAGAUACCCCAGUAGUCCUAGCUGUAAACAAUGGAUACUAGAUGUUGAACAGAUCGACCUGUGCAGUAUUAAAGCUAACGCGUUAAGUAUCCCGCCUGGGAAGUAUGCUCGCAAGAGUGAAACUUAAAGGAAUUGAGNGNGNGAAGUGCGAGACGACACGAGGAGAG